ACCGUGCUUGCACGGUCGGAUUAGUGGCGAACGGGUGAGUAUCACGUGAGUAACCUUCCCUUGACUCUGGGAUAAGCCCGGGAAACUGGGUCUAAUACCGGAUACGACCAGUCCUCGCAUGGGGUGCUGGUGGAAAGAUUUAUCGGUCUUGGAUGGACUCGCGGCCUAUCAGCUUGUUGGUGAGGUAAAGGCUCACCAAGGCGAUGACGGGUAGCCGGCCUGAGAGGGUGACCGGCCACACUGGGACUGAGACACGGCCCAGACUCCUACGGGAGGCAGCAGUGGGGAAUAUUGCACAAUGGGCGAAAGCCUGAUGCAGCGACGCCGCGUGCGGGAUGACGGCCUUCGGGUUGUAAACCGCUUUCAGCAGGGAAGAAGCGAAAGUGACGGUACCUGCAGAAGAAGCGCCGGCUAACUACGUGCCAGCAGCCGCGGUAAUACGUAGGGCGCGAGCGUUAUCCGGAAUUAUUGGGCGUAAAGAGCUCGUAGGCGGUUUGUCACGUCUGCUGUGAAAGCCCGGGGCUCAACCCCGGGUGUGCAGUGGGUACGGGCAGACUAGAGUGCAGUAGGGGAGACUGGAAUUCCUGGUGUAGCGGUGAAAUGCGCAGAUAUCAGGAGGAACACCGAUGGCGAAGGCAGGUCUCUGGGCUGUUACUGACGCUGAGGAGCGAAAGCAUGGGGAGCGAACAGGAUUAGAUACCCUGGUAGUCCAUGCCGUAAACGUUGGGCACUAGGUGUGGGGGACAUUCCACGUUUUCCGCGCCGUAGCUAACGCAUU
RNAcentral lists this ribosomal RNA (778 nucleotides) under Nesterenkonia lutea. RNAcentral describes it as "bacterial SSU rRNA". It matches the Rfam family "Bacterial small subunit ribosomal RNA", at positions 73 to 861 of the family's 1533-position model. The record is from RNAcentral. Lineage: Bacteria; Bacillati; Actinomycetota; Actinomycetes; Micrococcales; Micrococcaceae.